GGAACGAUUCUGGUAUGAUGCAGCUGGGUCGCAUUUGUUGGCAUUUUGAUGGUCCCGCUCGUUCACCCUGACGUCUGGGGCUCUACGCGCAAAUGACGUUUGCAGGUAACCCCCCAGAUCAGAGAAAAUUGAGAGAAUUCAUUCAAUGUACAAUUUCUAACGCUUGACAUGUGCAAAGUGCAGCGCACUCUACUCUCCUCCUUGAAUCUCGAAACAUUCUCCAAAAGGUCGUACAGAAAGCCACAAGUUCGAAUCUGGCUUGCUCGGAGCCCCACAGGUGAGCUGAGAAAACAUUCACUUGUUACCUGCAUCUCGGAGCCCUUAGUACAGCUCUGUGCAACUAUUCAUAGGCUCAGGCAAACCAAGGAAUUCUUAUUCUACCCUUAGAAGACGUGGAUCAAACAGAACUUGUACCAAAUGCUGCCGGUAAACUCCAAGAGCCUUUAUUCUGGGCUCGCAUCAUUCCAGACAAACUAACGAUGUACUCGUGAUUAUAUUUAAUUAAAUACAUCGGGUAUUAUUGCGAACAAUCCAAUUAAUAAUUUUAUGUCAAGCAAAAUGAAAGCAUUGCUCAUAACAUUGUAAAGCAAUAGUCAUAGGAAUUAAUUUAUACAUAUUUGGAGAUGAACCUACCCAUAAUAUAC
This 644-nucleotide unclassified non-coding RNA is filed under the name Athalia rosae (coleseed sawfly). Its description in RNAcentral is "misc RNA ENSAEAG00005012893.1". Lineage: Eukaryota; Metazoa; Arthropoda; Insecta; Hymenoptera; Athaliidae. The record is from RNAcentral.